This is a long non-coding RNA of Mytilus trossulus (common blue mussel), 4013 nucleotides long. RefSeq lists it as uncharacterized. The transcript is spliced from 2 exons. Lineage: Eukaryota; Metazoa; Mollusca; Bivalvia; Mytilida; Mytilidae. The record is from RefSeq and is a predicted model, not a curated record.
UCUGGUUGAUCCUUCUGUACUUACUAUAGACUUUUGGCACUUUUGAUAAUGAAAUACUAAUGAUAAACCAUUGACAUGUGGUAUGCAUUCUCAUAUUUUGAAAUUGUGUUCUUACAUUGAUUUUACCUUCUUGCUCUCGGUCAAACACUUAGGGUCUCUUGGUUAUUUUUGAUUAAAUAUUCUAUAUAUAUUUUCUAAAGAUUUAAAUAACAGAAAUACAGAAACCUGUUUUGUUAUGUUAGUGUUUGCAAACAUUAUUUGCAGAUAACCAGAUAUUUAUUUUUGUUGAAGUUUAAUUAAUCAAAACCAUUAGGUAGUACUGAGAAUAAUAGAGGAAUAUCUAAGGUCUGCCUUAGAAAGUUAAAACCCCAUAGUUGUUAGCCAAAAAUACAAGUUAAAGGGAAGGGGGAAGUCAUUCUACCUGUUAUAAUAAAAUACUCUCCAAAAGGAGGAGAAACUUUUGACAAUACCCACUCCUGUUAUGUAUAGAUCAACAUUCUUAUAUACUGUAAACCAACUUAUUUUGGUGAGCAAUUUAUUGUCUUGACUUUAUUCAUUGGGAAAAUUAACAACGCCAAUAUAAAUGAGCUUGAAUAUUUUCUAACUAAAAUACAGUAAAAAUUAUGGAAAUAAAUUGAAGCAAAGUCCACUAGAAUGGCUAAAUUUGAAAUUGAAUGUGAAAAAAUAUCUAGGUUUUAAGUAUCGGUAUUCUGAAUUAAUUGUGACUUUUGAAACAUCAGCCGAUGCUUUUUAUUUACACAAACUAUCGUUAAACAAGCUGUUUGUCUCGUUAUAAAAUCAACAGUAUAUUGUAUGUUAUGACGAAAAAAAUUAUCAAAUAGGAAAAACAAUGAAGUUUGAAAUAAAUAGAUGAAUAGUUUAUUUAUUUUGAUCUCUGAAGUAAUAUAAUAUAUAUAUAUAUCAUAUUUAUAGUAAUUUAUUUUUGAAUGGAAAUCAAAUUGUGAAAAUGCCAAAAAGUGGACAUAAUUGACAUAUUGUUUAUCAUUUGUGUAUCUAUUAUUAUUACCAUUGAUCACAUUCAUCUUCUCACGUCUGCAGUCAAAUGAUUUAAAGAUCAUGACCUCAUCUUCAUUCCAUGCAUCACUGGGUUAAUAUCUAGAAAAUCACAAUAAGUACAUAGGUUUAAUAUUUUAUGCAAUGCAAUAUUUUUAAGAUAAAUUUUUGACACUAACUGCUUUUCUAAAAGAUUUGGUGUGACAAGAUAUUUGAUAUGUAAAAUGCAAAACAAAACUUUCCUUAGUUUUUGAUAGUUGUGAAAUCUUAUUAAUUUUUUCCCCAAAGGAAUUGAUUUUUUUUUAUCUUUUCAUGAAGACAACAAUUUGAUAGCAAUAAAGCAUUUGAUAUAUGCAAGGGAUUCCAUUGGCUUAGAUUUAAAUCAUUUGUUACUGCAAACGAUUGGUUGUUAUGGAAUCUGAAGGAUCAUGGGUAUUAUCAUUGAAUAAUCCAAUGCAUUCAAUGUUGGUUGAUAGGUAUAAUCAUGGUUUAAUAAGUGUAGACAUAUCAUUUUACCCAGAAUCCUUUACAAUUUGUAGCAACAAAUCUGAUGAAGAUAUUUUAGAUAAGGGUAAUUGGGUCUCAUUGUCAUUUGCCUUAGUGAUGCAACAAUUUGUAUGUGAAGUGCUUUAAAUUUACAAUUGCCAUUAUUGUUUGUAAUUGUAUACUUAUAACAAUACUCUGUUUAAAACUAAAAUGUUUAUCUAAAGAUACCAUGGCUUACAGACAGUCAACUAUUCUGCCCCACCCCUAAUAAAAGUUGACAGGAAGCUUCAAUUAUAAACUCCAUAGACCUAUCCCCUAUACAUUGUUUCUCAGACAGAAGUCGUCAGUUUUACAGUUACUAAAUUAAAAGAGGUCAGCUUUUCAAGUUUCUAGUGAUGGAUAUCCCAAUAGGAUAAAAAUUUAGCAAAAGAUCAUUACAUAUAUUUUCUUUUUAUUAAUUUGCACAUUUUACAAAUAUAUCAAAAAUGAUUAACAUAUAAAUGAGUAUAAAUCUUAAUUGAUAUGUUAAACAACCUGUAAAAGUAGGCACUCAAUACUGUGUAAACAGAUAUGAUAAAUUGAUAAAUUUUAUAUGACAAACAAAGACUUGUAAUGAAAUGUAAAGAUGAAAAGGAGAGGUUUUUCUGAAGAGUGAAAAAACUGACCUCCUUGUUAUUAUUGGAUUGAUCUUUAAAAGGGGGGUCUAAAUUUCUUAAAAAAGAUAUUUGCAGGCUUCCAUGGACAUUUGAAGAGUUGACAGCUGGCUGCACCUGAUUUUGUACAACCCCUUGCUUUUCUAUGCAACAACAUAUAACUGACAUCAGUGCUAUAUAUGUUGACCCUCAAUAGAUUACCAGUGUGCUAUUUAAUUUUGUUUCAUAUGAACAAUAUAAGUUUGUAAAUAUGGUGCUAGGACAUAGUGUGCUAAACAGGGAUACAAUGGUUAAUACCUUACAGUGACGUCUUGAUUCAAAGUCUGGUUAACACUUUAUCAUUCUUUAAUAAUGACUGGUUAACAAUUUAUCACUCUUUAAUAAUGACUGGUUUGUAGAACUUAGUGGUUAAAUAUAGCUUGUGAAAAAAGGUUAUUAGAGUAUCUGGAAAGAUUUUCAAAUUAACCAGCAACAAUAGUGACUUGUCAAAAAAUUCAUCAUGUUGAAUGUGGGUAGUACUUGGACAAAGACAAUAUACAGAUUUUCAAACCACUCAUACGUAUAACAGAAUAUUUACAAACAUUAGUAACUGGCUGUUUUGGCAUUUAAUUCUACUAUAAUAGCUCAAAUUGCAAGUUUUAUUGAAAUUUUCAUGCUCAUUUGUAUUUUUCUCAUAAUUUAUUUUUUUGUUGGAAGAAGUUGAGAUUUUUAAGCUCAUAGUAAUCAGAUAUGGGAAUUAUUUAGUUCAAUGAAAUUAUUGGAAAUUAAUUGAUGGUUACAAUUUAUUAAGUUAUUUAUUUCCAAGCUAUAUUUGAUCAAGUUAUUAGAUCCUUGAAGUUUUUUAAAAUAUUAAAAAGUUGUGCAAAUCCAGUCACAUCUCAGUAGCCUAGAUCUCUUGUAUUGUUAGUUGUAAUGUUUUUUCAUACAUAAAACUGGGCAAUAAAGUAGAAAACCUUCCUGUUAGAUAGACAAAUAGAAUGUGAGACUAGGCACGAUUUCUUGAUGAAUUUCAAGUCUUAUUUUAUAAAUAUUUGGCUGUUUAUAAAGGGGGAAAAACGUUUGAGAUGUCCCCAAGUGUAAAUUUGUAGAAAAGAUUUGCUUAAGUUAAAUGUACAUUGUUUGUAAGGCUAUUUAUAUCAUUCCAGUUUCUGUGAUCUGUUUUGUUAAAACUGGAUCUCCUAAUUUGCACAUGUGGAAGGUAACCAGUUUAAAUCAAGUGAGGUAACCAUGGAUUCAUUUAUGAGAAUUUCAUAUAAAAAACAGUAAUCAAAAUUAUCUCCCUUUGGUGUUCCUUUGUCAUUUCAUGCUUUUAAUUCUUUAUCAAUACAUUAAAUGCAUGAUUAAUGUCAGGGAUCUAUACUGUUUCAGCUCCACCCAUCAAAUCUAUUCUUGUUAAUGCAAAAAUCUCUUGUAUUAAUUGUUUUCCAUUGAUUUGAACCAUGGUUGCCUUGGUAAUUAUUUUUCUGUGUUCAAAAGUAUUUAUUGAUAUUGCGUAAAUAUGAAAUGUACGAGAACCAUGUGCAAUGAUACUGAAGAUUCUAUAUUUGACAAAAAUAUGCAUUAUUAUUAUUUUGUUUUCAUCACCAUGACAACGGUUGUGUUGAUGCUUAAUUGUUUGUUUGCCAUUGGUUAAGACCACAUUAAAUUAGUUCUACAAUUGAUAAGCAUUGUAUUCAUACAAAUUAUAUAUCAAAUGUGCUCAUUAUUUUUGUAAAUUUUGCAACAAGUUACAAAGUACAAAGUUGAGUAUAUAAACCAAUUUGUAAAAUUCAUUGAAUUUUAAGAAUUUAUUUGUAUUGGUCAAUACAAUAUAGGCCAAAUUAUAUACUUCAUGUUCAUUAUUAAAUGACACAAAUGUGA